This 247-nucleotide ribosomal RNA is filed under the name uncultured bacterium. Its description in RNAcentral is "partial 16S ribosomal RNA". It matches the Rfam family "Bacterial small subunit ribosomal RNA", at positions 523 to 769 of the family's 1533-position model. The record is from RNAcentral.
AUACGAAGGGGGCUAGCGUUGUUCGGAAUUACUGGGCGUAAAGCGCACGUAGGCGGACAUUUAAGUCAGGGGUGAAAUCCCGGGGCUCAACCCUGGAACUGCCUUUGAUACUGGGUGUCUUGAGUACGAGAGAGGUGAGUGGAAUUCCGAGUGUAGAGGUGAAAUUCGUAGAUAUUCGGAGGAACACCAGUGGCGAAGGCGGCUUACUGGACUGAAACUGACGCUGAGGCUCGAAAGCGUGGGGAGC